AACGAACGCUGGCGGCAGGCCUAAUACAUGCAAGUCGAACGCACCGCAAGGUGAGUGGCAGACGGGUGAGUAACGCGUGGGAACCUUCCUAGUAGUACGGAAUAACUCCGGGAAACCGGUGCUAAUACCGUAUAAGCCCUCCGGGGGAAAGAUUUAUCGCUACUAGAUGGGCCCGCGUCGGAUUAGCUUGUUGGUGAGGUAAUGGCUCACCAAGGCUUCGAUCCGUAGCUGGUCUGAGAGGANGAUCAGCCACACUGGGACUGAGACACGGCCCAGACUCCUACGGGAGGCAGCAGUGGGGAAUAUUGCGCAAUGGACGAAAGUCUGACGCAGCGACGCCGCGUGUGGGAUGACGGUCUUCGGAUUGUAAACCACUGUCGGGAGGGACGAAUACGCCGCAAGGCGGGUGACGGUACCUCCAAAGGAAGCACCGGCUAACUCCGUGCCAG
RNAcentral lists this ribosomal RNA (449 nucleotides) under uncultured bacterium. RNAcentral describes it as "bacterial SSU rRNA". It matches the Rfam family "Bacterial small subunit ribosomal RNA", at positions 29 to 511 of the family's 1533-position model. The record is from RNAcentral.